RNAcentral lists this ribosomal RNA (301 nucleotides) under uncultured bacterium. RNAcentral describes it as "partial 16S ribosomal RNA". It matches the Rfam family "Bacterial small subunit ribosomal RNA", at positions 509 to 807 of the family's 1533-position model. The record is from RNAcentral.
CAGUAGCCGCGGUAAUACGGAGGGGGCUAGCGUUGUUCGGAGUUACUGGGCGUAAAGCGCACGUCGGCGGCUUGGUAAGUUAGAGGUGAAAGCCUGGAGCUCAACUCCAGAAUUGCCUUUAAGACUGCCGAGCUAGCAGGUGAGAGAGGUAAGUGGAAUUCCGAGUGUAGAGGUGAAAUUCGUAGAUAUUCGGAAGAACACCAGUGGCGAAGGCGGCUUACUGGCUCAUUCUAGACGCUGAGGUGCGAAAGCGUGGGGAGCAAACAGGAUUAGAUACCCCCGUAGUCCCUGUCUCUUAUAC